Molecule: unclassified non-coding RNA, 352 nt
Filed under: soil metagenome
Description: partial contains 5.8S ribosomal RNA, internal transcribed spacer 2, and large subunit ribosomal RNA
Rfam family: 5.8S ribosomal RNA (bases 1-121)
Source: RNAcentral
GAUGAAGAACGCAGCGAAAUGCGAUAAGUAAUGCGAAUUGCAGAAUUUCCGUGAGUCAUCGAAUCUUUGAACGCACAUUGCGCCCAUUGGUAUUCCGAUGGGCAUGCCUGUUCGAGCGUCAUUAUCUUCCCUCAAACCUCGCGUUUGGUGUUGGGCCGUGCUGGUUCCUGCGUGACCAACUGGCCUCAAAGACAAUGACGGCGUCCGUGGGACCCUCGAUGCAACGAGCUUCUCAGGAGCACGCGUCGAGUUUCAAGGACCUUCCGGGCCGGUCUACCCUUUAUCUUUCUAAGGUUGACCUCGGAUCAGGUAGGAAUACCCGCUGAACUUAAGCAUAUCAAUAAGCGGAGGA